Molecule: long non-coding RNA, 171 nt
Organism: Amblyraja radiata (thorny skate)
Lineage: Eukaryota; Metazoa; Chordata; Chondrichthyes; Rajiformes; Rajidae
Exons: 3
Source: RefSeq, a predicted model, not a curated record
AAAUGGAUGAAGGGGCCAGUUUCUCUGUAAGCCACGCAGAGAGUGGCCAAACCUUAACCUGGAAUCUGCAAUCUCUGUUAAUGAUCUGGAAAUCAAGCAAGACAUCACAGUGAACGUCAUUGUCAAAGAUCCAUUGGACUCAACAAACUAUUUAAUUACCUAUUUCUCAUC